This 253-nucleotide ribosomal RNA is filed under the name uncultured bacterium. RNAcentral describes it as "partial 16S ribosomal RNA". It matches the Rfam family "Bacterial small subunit ribosomal RNA", at positions 524 to 776 of the family's 1533-position model. The record is from RNAcentral.
UACGUAGGGUGCGAGCGUUAAUCGGAAUUACUGGGCGUAAAGCGUGCGCAGGCGGUUUUGUAAGACAGAUGUGAAAUCCCCGGGCUUAACCUGGGAAUGGCAUUUGGGACUGCAAGGCUGGAGUGCGGCAGAGGAGACUGGAAUUCCUGGUGUAGCAGUGAAAUGCGUAGAUAUGCGGAGGAACACCGAUGGCGAAGGCAAUCCCCUGGGCCUGCACUGACGCUCAUGCACGAAAGCGUGGGGAGCAAACAGG